UACGGAGGGUGCAAGCGUUAUCCGGAUUCACUGGGUUUAAAGGGCGCGUAGGCGGUCAGCACAAGUCAGUUGUGAAAUCUCCGGGCUUAACUCGGAAAGGUCAACUGAUACUGUGCGACUAGAGUGCGGAAGGGGCAACUGGAAUUCUCGGUGUAGCGGUGAAAUGCGUAGAUAUCGAGAGGAACACCUGCGGCGAAGGCGGGUUGCUGGGCCGACACUGACGCUGAUGCGCGAAAGCCAGGGGAGCGAACGGG
RNAcentral lists this ribosomal RNA (254 nucleotides) under uncultured bacterium. RNAcentral's name for it is "partial 16S ribosomal RNA". It matches the Rfam family "Bacterial small subunit ribosomal RNA", at positions 524 to 776 of the family's 1533-position model. The record is from RNAcentral.